Molecule: small RNA, 18 nt
Filed under: Arabidopsis thaliana (thale cress)
Lineage: Eukaryota; Viridiplantae; Streptophyta; Magnoliopsida; Brassicales; Brassicaceae
Description: Ath_wt_19185
Source: RNAcentral
CUGGCUCCCUGUAUGCCA